GCCCCUAUGGCGUAGUGGUAGCGCGUGUCACUUGUAUACAUAUAGUAACUACAAGAAUAUGACAAGGUCUCUCGUUCGAUCCGGGAUAGGGGCA
Molecule: transfer RNA, 94 nt
Filed under: Xylaria acuta
Lineage: Eukaryota; Fungi; Ascomycota; Sordariomycetes; Xylariales; Xylariaceae
Description: tRNA-Thr
Rfam family: tRNA
About the family: Transfer RNA (tRNA) molecules are approximately 80 nucleotides in length. Their secondary structure includes four short double-helical elements and three loops (D, anti-codon, and T loops).
Source: RNAcentral